Molecule: non-coding RNA, 83 nt
Filed under: uncultured Phascolarctobacterium sp.
Lineage: Bacteria; Bacillati; Bacillota; Negativicutes; Acidaminococcales; Acidaminococcaceae
Description: Glycine riboswitch
Rfam family: Glycine riboswitch aptamer (bases 6-79)
About the family: This family represents the bacterial glycine riboswitch.
Source: RNAcentral
CACAACUCUGGAGAGUCCCUUAUGGGCGCCGAAGGUGGAAAAGAAGCAAUUCUUGAGUCUCUCAGGCCAAAGGACAGAGCAUU